GACGUAGGUGGCAAGCGUUGUCCGGAAUUACUGGGUGUAAAGGGCGUGUAGACGGGGAUGCAAGUCAGAUGUGAAAUUCCAGGGCUCAACCCUGGCGCUGCAUCUGAAACUGUGUCUCUUGAGUGCUGGAGAGGAAAGCGGAAUUCCUAGUGUAGCGGUGAAAUGCGUAGAUAUUAGGAGGAACACCAGUGGCGAAGGCGGCUUUCUGGACAGUAACUGACGUUGAGGCGCGAAAGCGUGGGGAGCAAACAGG
Molecule: ribosomal RNA, 253 nt
Filed under: uncultured bacterium
Lineage: Bacteria
Description: partial 16S ribosomal RNA
Rfam family: Bacterial small subunit ribosomal RNA
Source: RNAcentral